Molecule: ribosomal RNA, 253 nt
Filed under: uncultured bacterium
Lineage: Bacteria
Description: partial 16S ribosomal RNA
Rfam family: Bacterial small subunit ribosomal RNA
Source: RNAcentral
GACAGAGGUGCCGAGCGUUAGGCGGAAUUACUGGGCGUAAAGCGUGCGUAGUCGGUAUUGAGAGUCGCGGGUGAAAUCCCAGGGCUUAACCCUGGAACUGCCUGCGAGACCUCAGUACUAGAGUGUGAGAGGGGAUAGUGGAAUACCAAGUGUAGCGGUGAAAUGCGUAGAGAUUUGGUGGAACACCGGUGGCGAAGGCGAGUCUCUGGACAUUUCCUGACGCUGAGGCACGAAAGCCAGGGGAGCAAACGGG